GGGUUGGUAUCCAAGCUGGCUGAAGGAACUCGACUGUAAAUUGAGAGCUUAUAUGCACACGGGGGUUCAAAUCCCUCCCAACCCA
Molecule: transfer RNA, 85 nt
Filed under: Iningainema tapete BLCC-T55
Lineage: Bacteria; Bacillati; Cyanobacteriota; Cyanophyceae; Nostocales; Scytonemataceae
Rfam family: tRNA
About the family: Transfer RNA (tRNA) molecules are approximately 80 nucleotides in length. Their secondary structure includes four short double-helical elements and three loops (D, anti-codon, and T loops).
Source: Rfam by way of RNAcentral